UGGAAGACAAGUGAUUUUGUUGUUGUAACCAUGACAACCAGACAACAAGUCCCAGUCUCCCUCA
MicroRNA precursor from Gadus morhua (Atlantic cod), 64 nucleotides. The record is from Ensembl. NCBI's taxonomy places the organism in Eukaryota, Metazoa, Chordata, Actinopteri, Gadiformes, Gadidae.